RNAcentral lists this ribosomal RNA (406 nucleotides) under uncultured bacterium. RNAcentral's name for it is "partial 16S ribosomal RNA". It matches the Rfam family "Bacterial small subunit ribosomal RNA", at positions 29 to 526 of the family's 1533-position model. The record is from RNAcentral.
AUUGAACGCUGGCGGCAGGCCUAACACAUGCAAGUCGAACGAGUUGCGGACGGGUGAGUCAUGUCUGGGAAACUGCCUGAUGGAGGGGGAUAACUACUGGAAACGGUAGCUAAUACCGCAUACCCUAAGAUGUGCCCAGAUGGGAUUAGCCUGGUGGUGGGGUAACGGCGCACGAAGGCGACGGUCCCUAGCUGGUCUGAGAGGAUGACCAGCCAGACUGGAACUGAGAAACGGUCCAGACUCCUACGGGAGGCAGCAGUGGGGAAUAUUGCACAAUGGGCGCAAGACUGAUGCAGCCAUGCCGCGUGUAUGAAGAAGGCCUGCGGGGUGUAAAGUACUUUCAGUGGGGAGGCGGUACCCGCAGAAGAAGCACCGGCUAACUCCGUGCCAGCAGCCGCGGUAAUUC